CAUUUGAACCUUUUCAAUGAUUUGUUGGUUUGCUUUUUUAAAGGUUAAAUAGAAGAACUAAAAACCUGAACUUUAAAUACCUGCAGUAAAGUAUUAGGAGUAAAAGUGCCAGGAUUAUCCUAUUUGUCAAUAGAAAGCCCAUCAGAUUACAUCUGAUAUAUCCCAUCCUCUUUUUGAUUCAUUUCAAAUCCUUCCCUCAGGAUCUCGGGUACCUUUGGUAAGGAUCACCAGAUUUAAAUGGUCAUUUGUUCUUCGUGCGAUUGAUUUGCUGAAUUUUAAUGGGAAGGUAGUUGCUGCUUUUAGUAC
This 306-nucleotide long non-coding RNA is filed under the name Danio rerio (zebrafish). Its description in RNAcentral is "lncRNA si:ch211-68a17.5 (ENSDARG00000096833.2)". The record is from RNAcentral. Lineage: Eukaryota; Metazoa; Chordata; Actinopteri; Cypriniformes; Danionidae.